GCAACUGCAUCACAGAAUCUUAGAGGUGAUUAUUCACAGGUUAAGGAAAUAAUUCCUUUUUUUUGUCGCUGCUGCACUGAAUUUCAUAGGCGUGUCUGUGGCUUGAUGCCUAAGAUAUUUAAAGCAGGUUUUAUUCUUACAGGGGUUUUGCACACUAAAGUGUCUGCCCAGGUUUUGUUUCCAAAAGUGAGGUAUAGUGCUGGGUGUUUAAUUUGGUAUGUUACUUGUUCUGUUGUGUAAAUAACUGCAGCGCCCUCCCUGUGCCUGUGUAUUGCAGGGGCAAGCGAGCGCUGGUUAUAAAGGUGGCGAUAAUUAGGAAGAAGCUGUUUAAGCUUGGAUAAAUGUUUAGAAAUCAUUGCUUAGGGUACUGCAUAGAUGUACCAGAAGGAACUGCACCCUGGAAGUGCUGUGUGUCUGAAACUGACUGCACCUACUCAUUUUUAGCUCCUCUUUCUGACUCUGACUCUGCUCCUAUUCCAACAGACCCGUCCGAGCCUGGCGUCCGCUAAACGCCUCCGCGUGGUGGGAGACGAGUCUAGGAAGAAAUACCUUCAAUCCACAGAUGAGGCAGAAAGGACUCAGUACAAGGAGGACUGGACUCAGAUGAAGGUUAAGAUGGGCACAGCUCUAGGUGGCCCAUAGCUUGGGGUUCAUCUCAGAAGGAGGGACUUCAUUUGGUCACAGAGAAGACGUGCCUUCCCUGCAAGGAGCAGGAAAGAUAAUCUACAGCCUCUCGGAGAGGCUUAAACUUGAGUAAAUUUUUGUAGCCACUGAUGCUGUUGAGGAAGCGACUGAACUGCUCGAGAAACUGCUGCCCGAGAUGGUGAGGUUUGAAGCCUCUCUGGAGGAGCUGGAACUCUCUAAGGACGGGGGCUCGUGAUUCACCCGUAGAUUUGCGCACAUGCAAUGUAGCAAACCUGACUUUGAUUUCAGCCAAAGCUUAAUGUCACUGUCAGAAAACUGAGUAUGAUUUUUGGCCCAUAGUUGUUUACGAAUGGUGUAAGCCAUUAUAUAAUCAAGUAUAUCAUUGAGAUGUGUCUAGUAGAUGUAUUACGGUUA
Molecule: non-coding RNA, 1059 nt
Organism: Cyanistes caeruleus (blue tit)
Lineage: Eukaryota; Metazoa; Chordata; Aves; Passeriformes; Paridae
Source: RefSeq, a predicted model, not a curated record